This 380-nucleotide ribosomal RNA is filed under the name uncultured archaeon. Its description in RNAcentral is "bacterial SSU rRNA". It matches the Rfam family "Archaeal small subunit ribosomal RNA", at positions 471 to 851 of the family's 1478-position model. The record is from RNAcentral.
UAAUACCAGCUCCCCGAGUGGUUAGGGCGUUUAUUGGGCCUAAAGCAUCCGUAGCCGGCUCUGUAGGUCUCCCGUUAAAUUCAACGGCUCAACCGUUGAGCUGCCGGAGAUACCGCAGGGCUAGGAGGCGGGAGAGGUGGACGGUACUCCGUGGGUAGGGGUAAAAUCCUCUGAUCCAUGGAAGACCACCAGUGGCGAAGGCGGUCCGCCAAAACGCGCUCGACGGUGAGGGAUGAAAGCUGGGGGAGCGAACCGGAUUAGAUACCCGGGUAGUCCCAGCUGUAAACGAUGCGAGCUAGGUGAUGGAGUGACUACGUGUUACUCCAGUGCCGCAGGGAAGCCGUUAAGCUCGCCGCCUGGGGAGUACGGUCGCAAGACUG